Molecule: small nuclear RNA, 94 nt
Organism: Osmia bicornis bicornis
Lineage: Eukaryota; Metazoa; Arthropoda; Insecta; Hymenoptera; Megachilidae
Source: RefSeq, a predicted model, not a curated record
GUACUUGCUUCGGCAGUAUGUACAUAUAUUAAAAUUUGAAGGAUGACCCCUGUGCAAGGAUGGCACGCAAAAUCGUGAAGCAUUCCACAUUUUU